This 497-nucleotide ribosomal RNA is filed under the name uncultured bacterium. RNAcentral's name for it is "partial 16S ribosomal RNA". It matches the Rfam family "Bacterial small subunit ribosomal RNA", at positions 28 to 507 of the family's 1533-position model. The record is from RNAcentral.
GAUGAACGCUGACGGCGUGCCUAAUACAUGCAAGUCGAGCGAACGGACGAGAAGCUUGCUUCUCUGAUGUUAGCGGCGGACGGGUGAGUAACACGUGGAUAACCUACCUAUAAGACUGGGAUAACUUCGGGAAACCGGAGCUAAUACCGGAUAAUAUUUUGAACCGCAUGGUUCAAAAGUGAAAGACGGUCUUGCUGUCACUUAUAGAUGGAUCCGCGCUGCAUUAGCUAGUUGGUAAGGUAACGGCUUACCAAGGCAACGAUGCAUAGCCGACCUGAGAGGGUGAUCGGCCACACUGGAACUGAGACACGGUCCAGACUCCUACGGGAGGCAGCAGUAGGGAAUCUUCCGCAAUGGGCGAAAGCCUGACGGAGCAACGCCGCGUGAGUGAUGAAGGUCUUCGGAUCGUAAAACUCUGUUAUUAGGGAAGAACAUAUGUGCAAGUAACUGUGCACAUCUUGACGGUACCUAAUCAGAAAGCCACGGCUAACUACGUG